UACGGAGGAGGCAAGCGUUAUCCGGAAUUAUUGGGCGUAAAGGGCGCGUAGGCGGCUUUUCAAGUGACGGGUGAAAUCCCUCGGCUUAACCGAGGAACUGCCUGUCAGACUGGAAGGCUUGAGACCGGGAGAGGUGAGUGGAAUUCCCAGUGUAGCGGUGAAAUGCGUAGAUAUUGGGAGGAACACCAGUGGCGAAGGCGGCUCACUGGACCGGAACUGACGCUGAGGCGCGAAAGCGUGGGGAGCAAACAGG
This 253-nucleotide ribosomal RNA is filed under the name uncultured bacterium. Its description in RNAcentral is "partial 16S ribosomal RNA". It matches the Rfam family "Bacterial small subunit ribosomal RNA", at positions 524 to 776 of the family's 1533-position model. The record is from RNAcentral.